Molecule: ribosomal RNA, 305 nt
Filed under: uncultured bacterium
Lineage: Bacteria
Description: bacterial SSU rRNA
Rfam family: Bacterial small subunit ribosomal RNA
Source: RNAcentral
AAGUGCCUACGGGAGGCAGCAGUAGGGAAUCUUCGGCAAUGGACGAAAGUCUGACCGAGCAACGCCGCGUGAGUGAAGAAGGUUUUCGGAUCGUAAAACUCUGUUGGUAGAGAAGAACGUUGGUGAGAGUGGAAAGCUCAUCAAGUGACGGUAACUACCCAGAAAGGGACGGCUAAUUACGUGUCAGCAGCCGCGGUAAUACGUAGGUCCCGAGCGUUGUCCGGAUUUAUUGGGCGUAAAGCGAGCGCAGGUGGUUUAUUAAGUCUGGUGUAAAAGGCAGUGGCUAAACCCUUGUAUGCAUUGGG